Molecule: ribosomal RNA, 856 nt
Filed under: uncultured bacterium
Lineage: Bacteria
Description: bacterial SSU rRNA
Rfam family: Bacterial small subunit ribosomal RNA
Source: RNAcentral
AGAGUUUGAUCCUGGCUCAGAACGAACGCUGGCGGCAGGCUUAACACAUGCAAGUCGAGCGCCCCGCAAGGGGAGCGGCAGACGGGUGAGUAACGCGUGGGAAUCUACCUAGCUCUACGGAAUAGCUCCGGGAAACUGGAAAUAAUACCGUAUACGCCCUUCGGGGGAAAGAUUUAUUGGAGUUAGAUGAGCCCGCGUUGGAUUAGCUAGUUGGUGGGGUAAUGGCCUACCAAGGCGACGAUCCAUAGCUGGUCUGAGAGGAUGAUCAGCCACACUGGGACUGAGACACGGCCCAGACUCCUACGGGAGGCAGCAGUGGGGAAUAUUGGACAAUGGGGGCAACCCUGAUCCAGCCAUGCCGCGUGAGUGAUGAAGGCCUUAGGGUUGUAAAGCUCUUUUGCCCGGGAAGAUAAUGACGGUACCGGGAGAAUAAGCCCCGGCUAACUUCGUGCCAGCAGCCGCGGUAAUACGAAGGGGGCUAGCGUUGCUCGGAAUCACUGGGCGUAAAGCGCACGUAGGCGGAUCUUUAAGUCAGGGGUGAAAUCCCGGAGCUCAACUCCGGAACUGCCUUUGAUACUGGGGAUCUUGAGUUCGAGAGAGGUGAGUGGAACUGCGAGUGUAGAGGUGAAAUUCGUAGAUAUUCGCAAGAACACCAGUGGCGAAGGCGGCUCACUGGCUCGAUACUGACGCUGAGGUGCGAAAGCGUGGGGAUCAAACAGGAUUAGAUACCCUGGUAGUCCACGCCGUAAACGAUGGAUGCUAGCCGUUGGCCGGUUUACCGGUCAGUGGCGCAGCUAACGCUUUAAGCAUCCCGCCUGGGGAGUACGGUCGCAGAUUAAAACUCAAGGAUUGACGG